Molecule: ribosomal RNA, 372 nt
Filed under: uncultured organism
Description: partial 16S ribosomal RNA
Rfam family: Bacterial small subunit ribosomal RNA
Source: RNAcentral
GUAGGUGGCAAGCGUUGUCCGGAAUUAUUGGGCGUAAAGCGCGCGCAGGCGGUUCUUUAAGUCUGAUGUGAAAGCCCACGGCUCAACCGUGGAGGGUCAUUGGAAGCUGGAGAACUUGAGUACAGAAGAGGAAAGCGGAAUUCCACGUGUAGCGGUGAAAUGCGUAGAGAUGUGGAGGAACACCAGUGGCGAAGGCGGCUUUCUGGUCUGUAACUGACGCUGAGGCGCGAAAGCGUGGGGAGCAAACAGGAUUAGAUACCCUGGUAGUCCACGCCGUAAACGAUGAGUGCUAAGUGUUAGGGGGUUUCCGCCCCCCUUAGUGCUGCAGCUAACGCAUUAAGCACUCCGCCUGGGAGUACGGCCGCAAGGCUG